This 467-nucleotide ribosomal RNA is filed under the name uncultured bacterium. RNAcentral describes it as "partial 16S ribosomal RNA". It matches the Rfam family "Bacterial small subunit ribosomal RNA", at positions 28 to 507 of the family's 1533-position model. The record is from RNAcentral.
GACGAACGCUGGCGGCGUGCUUAACACAUGCAAGUCGAACGGAAAGGCCCUGCUUUUGUGGGGUGCUCGAGUGGCGAACGGGUGAGUAACACGUGAGUAACCUGCCCUUGACUUUGGGAUAACUUCAGGAAACUGGGGCUAAUACCGGAUAGGAGCUCCUGCUGCAUGGUGGGGGUUGGAAAGUUUCGGCGGUUGGGGAUGGACUCGCGGCUUAUCAGCUUGUUGGUGGGGUAGUGGCUUACCCAGGCUUUGACGGGUAGCCGGCCUGGGAGGGUGACCGGCCACAUGGGGCCUGGGAUAGGGCCCAGACCCUUACGGGAGCAAGAGGGGGGGAAUUUGGACAAAGGGGCGGAGCCGGAAGCGAGAACCGCCGGGGCGGGAAUACCGCCUUUGGGGUGGAAACCGCUUUCGCCUGUGACGAAGCGUGAGUGACGGUAAUGGGUAAAGAAGCACCGGCUAACUACGUG